Non-coding RNA from Nerophis lumbriciformis (worm pipefish), 72 nucleotides. Lineage: Eukaryota; Metazoa; Chordata; Actinopteri; Syngnathiformes; Syngnathidae. The record is from RefSeq and is a predicted model, not a curated record.
GUGCAAUGAUGCCUUUUUGACACAUCAUUCCGAUUAAACGUGGUGAAUUUAAACAUUUUAAACCUGAGCACA